This 464-nucleotide ribosomal RNA is filed under the name uncultured bacterium. RNAcentral describes it as "partial 16S ribosomal RNA". It matches the Rfam family "Bacterial small subunit ribosomal RNA", at positions 339 to 795 of the family's 1533-position model. The record is from RNAcentral.
CUACGGGAGGCACCAGUGGGGAAUAUUGCACAAUGGGCGCAAGCCUGAUGCAGCCAUGCCGCGUGUAUGAAGAAGGCCUUCGGGUUGUAAAGUACUUUCAGCGGGGAGGAGGGGAGUAAAGUUAAUACCUUUGCUCAUUGACGUUACCCGCAGAGGAAGCACCGGCUAACUCCGUGCCAGCAGCCGCGGUAAUACGGAGGGUGCAAGCGUUAAUCGGAAUUACUGGGCGUAAAGCGCACGCAGGCGGUUUGUUAAGUCAGAUGUGAAAUCCCCGGGCUCAACCUGGGAACUGCAUCUGAUACUGGCAAGCUUGAGUCUCGUAGAGGGGGGUAGAAUUCCAGGUGUAGCGGUGAAAUGCGUAGAGAUCUGGAGGAAUGCCGGUGGCGAAGGCGGCCCCCUGGACGAAGACUGACGCUCAGGUGCGAAAGCGUGGGGAGCAAACAGGAUUAGAUACCCGAGUAGUC